RNAcentral lists this ribosomal RNA (469 nucleotides) under uncultured bacterium. RNAcentral describes it as "bacterial SSU rRNA". It matches the Rfam family "Bacterial small subunit ribosomal RNA", at positions 28 to 507 of the family's 1533-position model. The record is from RNAcentral.
GAUGAACGCUGGCGGCGUGCCUAAUACAUGCAAGUCGAACGAGGCCCUUUGUAUUCGUACGAAGGUGUCCUAGUGGCGAACGGGUGAGUAACACGUAGGUGACCUGCCCCGAAGCGGGGGACAACUCCGGGAAACUGGAGCUAAUACCCCAUGUUUUCCAUGGUGUUAGAGGACCAUGGAACAAAGGAGCAAUCCGCUUUGGGAGGGGCCUGCGGCCCAUCAGCUAGUUGGUAGGGUAAUGGCCUACCAAGGCUAUGACGGGUAGGGGACCUGAGAGGGUGGUCCCCCACACUGGAACUGAAACACGGACCAGACACCUACGGGUGGCAGCAGUAGGGAAUAUUGCACAAUGGGCGAAAGCCUGAUGCAGCAACGCCGCGUGCGCGAUGAAGGCCUUCGGGUUGUAAAGCGCUUUUCUGGGGGAAGAGGAAGGACGGUACCCCAGGAAUAAGUCUCGGCUAACUACGUG